This is a long non-coding RNA of Cyprinus carpio (common carp), 4179 nucleotides long. The record is from Ensembl. NCBI's taxonomy places the organism in Eukaryota, Metazoa, Chordata, Actinopteri, Cypriniformes, Cyprinidae.
GUCAGAAGGAGCACCAGAAGCUUUAAAUGAUGCCACAGCAGGUCAUGGCUGGCGGAUGAAAACAAACACGUCAGUUGUAAUUAAAGCUGUCGGUUGUAAUUACAGACGCUUAAGCAUAAAAUUAACCCUGUACUAGCACAUGAAAGAGCUCAAAUGAUGAUUUAUCCCCAUUGAUGUAUUUGGGAACACUGUUGAAUAUAUAUAAUUUACAUAUUCUAAUUUGGGAGAUAGAUUUAAGAAAGAAAAAAAAAACCUAUGACUUCCAUAGCAUUUUUUCAAUACUAUGGAAGUCAAUGGGGACCAGCAACUGUUUGGUUACCAACAUUCACCAUAAUAUCUUAUUUUGCGUUCAACAGAAGAAAGAAACUGGAACAACUUGAGGGUGAGUUAAUGAUGACAGAAUUAAUGUCUAUAAUUGAUGAGAAUGGUGAUGACUGAAUUCCCCUUUGAAUUUUGAUGCCUAUUUGUGUCCAUCAAACACCAUGAGAAAUCUUAUAUAUAUUCUCUACAUUUACCUGUCUAAUGUGGAGCAGAUUUUAAAAUUCUUUAUGAACUGACCAUUAAAGCUGACAUGAAAAGCAUUAUAUCUGGGUGCUCUAUGGGUUAACUGAGGCUUGGAGAAACCUGUUGCCAAUUAAGCGUGUGGAAUGCCACAUAUAGACAUUUCCUCAGACCUUCCACCACAGGUUUCAGAGCACAUGUUCCCUUCCAGACAGACAAUAUAACCGCUUAGGGAGUUUAAAAUGUUUGUUUUAUUUACAUUUUUGCUUUCAUGGUUUGGAAACAGUUGUCGGAACUGACCUUGUGGACAAUGUGUUUGGCUCCGCUCUGAUUCAUUCUCUGGAUUACAGGAGACCCAAGCUUAAGUGUCUUUAGGAUAUUUCUAUUCUGCAUAAGCUGCGAUGGAGACUCAGAGGUUUUUAUUUCUCAUCUGUCUGAUGAUGUGUGGAGGAGACACUGAAAGUACACCUGAAAUCUGCACAGGAGCGCACUGCCAAAGAUCUCCAUCUAGAUCACCUGAUCACCAGAGCAGAUUUUCAGUUUAUACUCCAAGACGCCCAUCAGUUCCCUACACGGUAAUACAUCCGCAGCACAGUAGGACUGGCAGUCCGAAAGUUAACCCAAGGACCAUCACAGCUGAGGUGUUCAACCCACAGGGAUGCACGGGAGGAGGUUGUCAUGGCUCGCAAAGACUGACAAAUAAUGAUAUGAAAGAGUGCAAGGGAAUCGGAUGUAAACUACCUGUAAGGAUGCGACAAGAUCCCAAACAGCAUUCCACAGGGACAGAUGUUGGAAGAAGCAGACUUUCUUUUGUCCAUAUGCAGGACAGAGCCGAGCAAGUAUUGGGAGAAUUUCCGGAGUUGGGAACUCGAGGGGGACCAUCAGCUGGAAUUCAGUUAACAUGCAACAUCAAACCAGGCACAAAUGAGGUCCAUUCUGAAGAUGCAUUAGUGUUGCAUUUGCACUUGGCAACAGGUCAGGAUAAACUGGUGGACCAGUUGCAAGGGCAGCAAGCUGAAGUUAAGCAACUUCAGAACACACUGAGAGAACAGCAAAACGCUCUACUAGCCCACCAAAGAGAAAUACUGGACCAACAACAGAUUAUGUUUGAAAAGAUGGAAGAAGUCAAGACCCAGUACAACCUUCUUCUUGACGGGGUCAAACAGUUAUCUGUGCAAGGCCCACAGGGCGUCACUGAGAGCCAUUUGGAUGGUCUCCAGUCCCAGGUUACGACCUUUUCUCAGGAGGCCUUUGCAAUGCAUAAGAUGAACAUGGAUGCUAGUGUUACAGAUGCUGACAGACCUCUACCUGGCUGUGGAUCCUGCCGAUCAGAUGAGUACUGCGACUUCAGUGCAGACCGGCCACGUUGUGAGAAAUGCACUGUUUGCCCUCCGGGAUUCUUUCUGGUGGCUCAGUGUUCCAUUCACGCUGACAGGAUUUGCCAGGACAGAGACGAAUGCCUGGAGAUACCAAACUUAUGUAAAGAACACAACCAGUGCCUCAAUACACCAGGGGGAUUUCGCUGCUCCGGCAUGUUGGAGAGGGAAGCAGCCGCUGGGAUGUGUGGGCACUCUUAUUUUUACAGUUCAGAGAUGGAGGAGUGUCAAGCCUGUACAGAAUGUGAUUCUCAGCCAAUGACAUCCCCAUGUUCAGCCUUGAAUGAUGCCGUGUGUGCCAACCCCUCUGAAAGCAAACUCUCACUUUCUUGGUCUGGUAACGUUGACCUAGCCAAGGGUAGUGCGUUUCCUGAAAAGCAACUUCACAUCCGUGGUAACAGUGACGGAAGCCUUCUUUCCUGCACUGAUGGUUGGAUAGUGCUCCACCAGCAUGGGCUUGUUUGGGUUGACCAUAACCUUGCUUUAAAACACGGCUGCCGCAGCUUCAUUCAAGCGUGUUUACGACUGAACGCCAGUGAAGAUGAAGGUCGGGAUCUGAGUGGGAUGCGUUUGGAGCAGCGGGAGGGCAAAUCUCUCCAGAGCGCCAGUGUGAGUGGAGCAACUUCUGUGGAGCCAGGUCAUGUACUCUACCUUACUCUCAAGAGCGCCACCAACCAGUGUAGCCAAGACAGUGAAGACGUGCACCUUCAGAGCAGCCUAAUCUCACCUUUCAGCUUGCUCUGGUUGUCCCAUGACACAGGUGCAGUUGCAAUGACUGCUCAGGCCAUUGCUUCUGCACAUUACCACACCAACUACCGUCCUGCCUUCCGUACAUCAUCCAUCUCCGACCCCUACAUGGUCGGCUUGACCCAGGACAACCGAGGGGUGCGCUUCAGAGAAAGUGGCACUGUGAAGUUUGUCCUCCAGCAAGCAUUGUACUCCAUGGGUCAAGCCUGUAUCUCCGAGGGCUUCUACUUGCUUGCAUACGUGAACCACAACGGAAGCAGCGCUGAGCUGACCCGUGCAUUCAAGUCCGGCGUACACUACAGAGACACAUCUAUUUCUCUCUCAGCAGCCACCACUGUGGAUUCUGGGGAUAUGCUCACCUUUGAGAUCCUUGCACCCGCACAGUGCAAUGUGCGCUACUUCGGUGACGACUCUGGGAUUAGCAUGCUCAGUCUAGUGUGGAUCCCUUCAGCCGUGUCCACUGCCUUGUCGGCCUCUGUGUCCAGGAAAGGUCUGCCCUCUGGCGCAGUGCGGAAUAAAGCCUUGUUCUUCCAUCAGACAAGUCCGGCGGUUCCACAAGUUGCACUAGCUGGAACCAAAGAUCACAGAGACUUCAUCUUUCGGGAAGCAGGGACGGCGAGUGUGGCUUUAGAUCUGCGGCUUAUUCACUCAUGCAAUCUAAUCAAACUCACCUUGCUCCAACAGAGCAGGUCUCAGGGGGUUCAGCCAGCUCCUGUAGCUCAACAGAUUGGUGGACAUAUGCCAGAAGGAAGUGUAUGGGCAAGUGUGGGGUUGAGGGUAUCAUUUCAGGUGCGUAAUGGCACUGUGAUCUUCGCUACAGUGGACUGCGUUAGAGGGCGCAUCAACCAAAUUGCCCAUGAUGCUGGAAGUACCAUGUCUAUCCUCUGGACAGCUGCAUAAUCAUAGCAUGAAUCUGCUAGCAUGAUGUCAACCCUGUUGAAAAAACAGCAUAUGCUGGUUAGGUAUGUUUUGAUGCAUGGUAGCUGGUUUGAGCUGGUUUAAGCUGGUCCUGAUCUGGUUAUAAAUUGGUUAUGAGCAGGAGCUAGUUGCUUAGUACCAGCUCAAUACCAGCUGCCAUGCAUCAGAACAUACCUAACCUGCAUAUGCUGUUUUUUUUUCAACAGGGAAGCUUCUUUUAGAUGUUUUUAUUUAGAUGCAAUUGAUUUGGUUUCUUUUGAAAAUAUUUUCUAAGCUGUCCAACCAAUUAGUAGCUUGUUUCAGAGUAAAUUUCUGGUUUAAGUAGCAUUGUGUCAAGUAUGCUUUUUUAAAACUUUGCUGAGAAAAAAUUGUGAAAAUAUUAUGAAAGAAACAUUUAUUCUUUUUUACUUACAAAUCUUUUUGUUGGUUUUUGUAUGGUUUAAUGUUGUUAAAAUAAUUGCAUCUACUUGUUCUUUUUUAGCAGUUUUCCUUUCAUUAUAUUUGCAUUUCAUAAAACGUCAUUAUCUAAAUGUAUAUCAUUAAUUAUUUGCCUUGUUUUCCUCUCAAGGGAAGGUAUGUCGUACAGCAUGUUUUGUAUCUUGCCUGUGUCUUUGAAUAAAACAUUCAGUGGUAGCCA